GUUCUGAUUAUUAUUUUUUUUUUCUUCCGCCUAAUUUUUUUUCUUGCGUAGUAUUGAUGUUUCAAAAGAUGUCGCUUAGAUAUUUGGAAUAUGAUAUCGUAUAGUUUAUACGCUUUAAAAAUUUACAACUGCGUAACAAAAUACUUUACGUUGUAAGAGUUAUCUCCCCAAACACUGUUUUUCUUGUGGCCACUACUCCUUCGCAACCGUAAAAGAUUACGACAAAUUUAUUUUACCAAAUUGCUCGUUACAUC
Molecule: long non-coding RNA, 254 nt
Filed under: Mytilus galloprovincialis (Mediterranean mussel)
Lineage: Eukaryota; Metazoa; Mollusca; Bivalvia; Mytilida; Mytilidae
Source: RNAcentral